UGCGUAGGUGGCGAGCGUUAUCCGGAAUGAUUGGGCGUAAAGGGUGCGUAGGCGGAUCGUUAAGUCAGUGGUCAAAUUGAGGGGCUCAACCCCUUCCCGCCAUUGAAACUGGCGAUCUUGAGUGGAAGAGAAGUAUGCGGAAUGCGUGGUGUAGCGGUGAAAUGCAUAGAUAUCACGCAGAACCCCGAUUGCGAAGGCAGCAUGCCGGCUUCCUACUGACGCUGAAGCACGAAAGCGUGGGGAUCGAACAGG
RNAcentral lists this ribosomal RNA (252 nucleotides) under uncultured bacterium. RNAcentral describes it as "partial 16S ribosomal RNA". It matches the Rfam family "Bacterial small subunit ribosomal RNA", at positions 524 to 776 of the family's 1533-position model. The record is from RNAcentral.